Long non-coding RNA from Bubalus bubalis (water buffalo), 197 nucleotides. RefSeq lists it as uncharacterized. The record is from RefSeq and is a predicted model, not a curated record. The transcript is spliced from 2 exons. Lineage: Eukaryota; Metazoa; Chordata; Mammalia; Artiodactyla; Bovidae.
CAGCUCGUUUCGGAGCUGCAUGACCGUCUCAGCUUCGCUGUCCAUGCACUCCGAAAUGCUAGGGAAAGAGAAGUGUUGCUGACCAAGGCAGCUCUGAGUGCAGCACCUCUGAGUUGCCCCCGACCACUACAUCAUCAGGAGCUGAGGUGCAGGGUGAUCCAGAAGAGCAAGCUUGGACAUUUCUUGGACCGAAAACA